GAUAGAUAACAGAGGUCGCUUUUGUUUCUCAUAGGCUUUUUCUAUAAUUUUGCAGCAGAGACAGCAGUGGGACUCAAAAGUUAUUGCAAAAGGGCGACCGACGAGAAGGCUGUGGCAGAAUGCACAAGAGAAACAGAUGCUCUUAUGCUCAGCAGACUCUUUUGCUGGCUUGUCUUGAAACAAGUAUUCCCCUUUAUGUGGAUCCAGUCUUAAUUCUACAUGCUUGGAGGGGAGAAGCACUGUGUGGCAUUAAGGGGCUGGUGGUCCUGCAUCCUACAGAUCAUCCUAAAUGGGAAAUGUGUAUACAGUGGUACCUCUGGUUACGUACUUAAUUUGUUCCGGAGGUCCGUUCUUAACCUGAAACUGUUCUUAACCUGAAGCACCACUUUAGCUAAUGGGGCCUCCUGCUGCCAUUGCGCUGCCGCCGCACGAUUUCUACUCUCAUCCUGAAGCAAAGUUCUUAACCUGAGGUACUAUUUCUGGGUUAGGGGAGUCUGUAACCUGAAGCGUAUGUAACCUAAAGUGUAUGUAACCCGAGGUACCACUGUACAGAGGGUGAGCCUGGGGAAAGGCUUUGGGCCUAAAAGCCCAAAUGAGCCUUCCAGGCCUCUCUCAGCUCUCUUCCCUGAGCCACAACCCUGUUUUGUACUCUGCUCGGGUGUUUUUACCUGUCUGGAACAGUUACUUAAAAUUCUGUUAAUGCCUCCUGCACGCCUGGAAAGAGGAACGUGUGAGGGUUUUGAAGCUAGCCUAGUGUACAAAGUGUUGGGGCUUCUAAAAAAUGAUGAUGAUGAAACUGGCCAUCUCCACUGCAAUGUGAGUAUUAGGAUAUAUACACUUCUGUGACCAGAAGGGAAGUUCAUGGUUAUAAAACAUUAAAAGCAGCACUGCUGAUAUAUAGCCUACUGAACAAUGGUUCCAACUCCUGCCAGCUUCAGUUAGCAUGGUCAACAAUCAGGGAUCAUGAGAGAUGAGUACCAUCUGGAGAGUCAUAGGAUCCCCACUCCUGGGUUUGAU
This is a long non-coding RNA of Podarcis raffonei (Aeolian wall lizard), 1017 nucleotides long. RefSeq lists it as uncharacterized. The record is from RefSeq and is a predicted model, not a curated record. The transcript is spliced from 3 exons. Lineage: Eukaryota; Metazoa; Chordata; Lepidosauria; Squamata; Lacertidae.